Molecule: ribosomal RNA, 700 nt
Filed under: Actinomycetes bacterium
Lineage: Bacteria; Bacillati; Actinomycetota; Actinomycetes
Description: bacterial SSU rRNA
Rfam family: Bacterial small subunit ribosomal RNA
Source: RNAcentral
UGCAGCUCGAACGAUGAAAUCACUUCGGUGGUGGAUUAGUGGCGAACGGGUGAGUAACACGUGGGCAAUCUGCCCUUCACUCUGGGACAAGCCCUGGAAACGGGGUCUAAUACCGGAUACCACUUCGUCCCGCAUGGGACGGGGUUGAAAGCUCCGGCGGUGAAGGAUGAGCCCGCGGCCUAUCAGCUUGUUGGUGGGGUAAUGGCCUACCAAGGCGACGACGGGUAGCCGGCCUGAGAGGGCGACCGGCCACACUGGGACUGAGACACGGCCCAGACUCCUACGGGAGGCAGCAGUGGGGAAUAUUGCACAAUGGGCGAAAGCCUGAUGCAGCGACGCCGCGUGAGGGAUGACGGCCUUCGGGUUGUAAACCUCUUUCAGCAGGGAAGAAGCGCAAGUGACGGUACCUGCAGAAGAAGCGCCGGCUAACUACGUGCCAGCAGCCGCGGUAAUACGUAGGGCGCAAGCGUUGUCCGGAAUUAUUGGGCGUAAAGAGCUCGUAGGCGGCUUGUCACGUCGGAUGUGAAAGCCCGGGGCUUAACCCCGGGUCUGCAUUCGAUACGGGCUAGCUAGAGUGUGGUAGGGGAGAUCGGAAUUCCUGGUGUAGCGGUGAAAUGCGCAGAUAUCAGGAGGAACACCGGUGGCGAAGGCGGAUCUCUGGGCCAUUACUGACGCUGAGGAGCGAAAGCGUGGGGAGCGA